GGGGGCGAUCCUGGGUUCGACGGGGGUCGCUGACGGUGAGGCUGCGAGCCGAGGUGCCGGAGGCCUCGUAAAACACCGGCAACGCCAUAACUGGCAACAACCGUUACGCUUUGGCGGCUUAAUCCCGCCACGUCCCCGCUAAGCCCCGCCGGUGGCUCGAGCGGCGGACGACACAAAACCGGCUAGCCGGGGGCAAGGCCCCGUAGCCGCCCGGCGAACCGCUUCCGGGGCUUGGCCUAAGCCCCCUGUCCGUGGGGUAAGCUUAGGCGACACUUGAAACACGGACUACGCUCGUAGACGCCCACCCGAUGGGCUCUCGGACGCGGGUUCGAGUCCCGCCGCCUCCACCA
Molecule: transfer-messenger RNA, 350 nt
Filed under: Marinithermus hydrothermalis
Lineage: Bacteria; Thermotogati; Deinococcota; Deinococci; Thermales; Thermaceae
Also listed under: 1 other name
Description: Standard tmRNA
Rfam family: transfer-messenger RNA
About the family: Bacterial tmRNA, also known as 10Sa RNA or SsrA, is named for its dual tRNA and mRNA-like properties.
Source: RNAcentral